GUUAAACUUUGAUGGAGGUAUGUAUCGUGAUCCAUGCUGCACCCAGUGUUUUCACUUUUAAAAUUAGAUCUAAUGCAUGUUAGGCUGUAACCCGUAUUGUUUCAUAAGCAUUAUCGAUGUUGACACGUUAUGUGAUAGUGUUGCAGGGUUGUGUCUUGUAUUUAUAAUUUUAUGGACAUUUACAAAACUGUCACGUUGCGUUACGCUGAAGGGUAGCUAACGUUCGCCUUGUACUUUGCUAAUGAGGCUAGUCUUCUCGUGAAGUGUAAGUAUUUUUAUUUUAUGUUUCACGGCACUCAGAUUGCAUGGUGGGUUUACAGUUGUGCUGAAGUUCACACAGUGUUGUGUAUGUAUUCGCAGAUGGCCUAUUUGGGAUUGAAAUGUGGCUGUGAUGUGAAAGAGUGUGUGGAGGAUCAUGGCACACAUGACCUUUCAAAGACCAUGAACUGGAGGGGAAUGCCAACUGCAGCUGCCAACUGCAGCUCAAAGGGAUAGUUAAUUCUGCAGUGUGGAGAAACCGACUCGCGUCCAGUGCAACUAACAAAGAAGUGGGGGAAAAAGCUGUGUUUUUUGUUUUUUUCCCUUGGUUUGUGUGACCAACUUGCACCAAAUUUCCUGAAGAUGUUCAGGAAGAUAAACGCUGCUUCAGGUUGUCUGUACCUGCGGCCAGAGGGAAGGAUCUGGAUUUCGGAUUGGAGUGGAUGGGAAGAGUCAACCAAUACCAAUAUAAUACCAAAAAGUGUGCAUGCUAGCAACCAAGUUUUCAAGAUGGAGCACUUUCAGUCCAGAGCCAAAGGUAUGAUGAUGCAAAUUAGCAAAAUGAUCAUUGCGUAUAAUUAGCAUCAUUAUGCUUUUUGCUCUGUACUGCAAUCAUUGUCCUAUGACCCAAAGAAGUGUACUUUUUUGUUUCUGCCCUAACACCCCCACAUAUUAUUUAAAUUAAUAAACUCAUCAAGCCUUUGAAUUGAAUAAGGUAUGUGUACCAGAACAAAAUCUAAAAUGUGCCCUCCAUUGGGGCCAGGAUUGGGGAUCACUGCUGUACUGAAAGUUCUCUAUCUUUGGUCCCAGGAUGACAGCCCAAUUGAAAACCACAUUUUACAGCCUACUUACUGUAGGUCACACUUCACACCCAUUUGGGAAAACACCUGUGUCCCAUGCGGGUACUAAAAGUGUGGUAACCCACAUGGGGCGGCAGGGUAGCCUAGUGGUUAGAGUAUUGGACUAGUAACUGGAAGGUUGCAAGUUCAAAUCCCCGAGCUGACAAGGUACAAAUCUGUCGUUCUGCCCCUGAACAGGCAGUUAACCCACUGUUCCUAGGCCAUCAUUGAAAAUAAGAAUUUGUUCUUAACUGACUUGCCUAGAUAAAAAAAUAAAAACAAAAUGGCUUAACACUUGGGGCCAAUGUCAGAUAACCACAAGGAGCCCACACAGUUUUGUCCUUAGUGUCCACACUGGCCCCACAUAUGGUUGCCAUGUUGCGAUUUAUCUGGGUUCAUGUUGGGCUUCACAAUUUAUGGCAACCACGUAUGGGGACAACAUGUAUAAUGAGGAUUCAACUUUUUGGGGCCCUUGUGGUUUUCCUACAUGGGGGCCCAAAAUGUUUUUAAAAAUUACAAUCCCCCCUCACUCACACUUGUUACUGUCAAAUUCAACACAGCAAAAACAAUAUAUUUGGGCUACACUGCACAUUAUACACUUUCUGCCUGUGGACAUCUGUUCUACAAUGUGCCAGGGAAAGUGUGUGGUGUUCCUUUCCCCUUUACAGUGGCAUCCAGUUUAAGCCAGGCCCAGCUCCAGCUACACUUGAUCCCUGAAUCCACUUGUUUAACAAGCAACGCCUCAUUUUCACCUAACUCUCUCAUUCUGAAAAUGAACCACAUACUGUCGAGGGAAAACAUUAGUUUACAGAUAAUGGUUAGCUAGUUAACAUUUCACACAGAUUGCCAGGGUCCAGUAAGUAACUGAGUUAUAACUUGAACCAGCAAGGAGUUGUAUACCAGCUAAUACUAUAGCCAAUUGGUUAGGUUACUAAUGUUAGCUCAUCUGAUGUUGUAACAUUAGCUAGCUAACGUUAGCUGUCUGACUUUAUUAGCAAGCAAAUUUUCACACCAUAAACUCAAUUAUUUGAUCAGAUGAGUUGACUAUUGUUGCUCAAUUUCUCUGACUAGCUAAUGGAGAAUUCGAUCCAGCUAGCAAGAUACUUAACAAUGCUAAUACUUGUUCCUCCACACAUUUUCCCUCACAUCAAAUUUUCCAAAUGCCAGUUGUUUUUCAGUUACAGCUCAUGAAGUACUCUUCAUCACCUUCUCACCUAACGUUACCUCUUCAUUAUCGUUCAGCGAACGCGCUGCUGUAACUGCCUUUCUACUCUAUGCGGUCUUUCCAUGGUGCGCGCUGAUGCUGUAACUAACUAAGUGAUUUCUCAUCGGAUCUACACGAAUCACGUAGGCCACCUAUUUUGGACUCAAGACGGCAAAUUUCUAGACUAGUUUGCAGCCCUGGUGUCUGGGUGCCCUCAAUUUGCAGGGGGCAGACAAGUUUGCUGUCACUCAGUCAGCGGCAGGGUAGCGGUUAGAGCGUUGGAUUAGUAACCGGAACGUUGCAAGUUCAAAUCCCGAGCUGACAAGGUACAAAUCUGUCGUUCUGCCCCUGAACAGGCAGUUAACCCACUGUUCCUAGGCCGUCAUUGAAAAUAAGAAUUUGUUCUUAACUGACUUGCCUAGAUAAAUAUGGGUAAAAUUGCAAAGUUCAUAUUUUUUUCCCAUACCCUCACCCACUUGUUAGAUAUUAUGCACAUUGAUAGCUUGCUAGUCUAGCAAAAUGUCCUUGCCAUUUGAUUUAUAAUAGUAACAGGCUAACCAGUCUGGUUCCAGAGCAUUUCAUAUUAUUCAGAAAGUAAAUCAAAGAUUAUUCUGAAAUCCAAAUCCAAGAGGUUAAAGUUAUGGGGAAGGGUUAGCUAAAAUAGUUAGGGUGAGCUAAAAGUGUUAAGUUUAGGAUUAGCAAAGAUGCUAAGUAGUUGCAAAGUAACUAAAAAGUAGUAAGUAGGUGAAAAGGUGCAAAAGUGAUGAUAAGGUUAUAUGGGUUUAUGUUAGGCUUUUUGGUGGACCCCUGUGGGCAAAUGUGUGAUAACCCAUGUCAACCCCAGGUUUUAGCCCAUGUGGUUUAAAGGGUUCGUUGUCUCUUCCACGGGACAGUUGAGCUAACGUAGGCUAAUGCGAUUUAGCAUGAGGUUGUAAGUAUCAAGAACAUUUCCCAGGACAUAGACAUAUCUGAU
Long non-coding RNA from Oncorhynchus tshawytscha (Chinook salmon), 3274 nucleotides. RefSeq lists it as uncharacterized. The transcript is spliced from 4 exons. The record is from RefSeq and is a predicted model, not a curated record. NCBI's taxonomy places the organism in Eukaryota, Metazoa, Chordata, Actinopteri, Salmoniformes, Salmonidae.